RNAcentral lists this ribosomal RNA (465 nucleotides) under uncultured bacterium. Its description in RNAcentral is "partial 16S ribosomal RNA". It matches the Rfam family "Bacterial small subunit ribosomal RNA", at positions 339 to 795 of the family's 1533-position model. The record is from RNAcentral.
CUACGGGUGGCUCCAGUGGGGAAUAUUGCACAAUGGGCGCAAGCCUGAUGCAGCCAUGCCGCGUGUAUGAAGAAGGCCUUCGGGUUGUAAAGUACUUUCAGCGGGGAGGAAGGGAGUAAAGUUAAUACCUUUGCUCAUUGACGUUACCCGCAGAAGAAGCACCGGCUAACUCCGUGCCAGCAGCCGCGGUAAUAGCGGAGGGUGCAAGCGUUAAUCGGAAUUACUGGGCGUAAAGCGCACGCGGGCGGUUUGUUAAGUCAGAUGUGAAAUCCCCGGGCUCAACCUGGGAACUGCAUCUGAUACUGGCAAGCUUGAGUCUCGUAGAGGGGGGUAGAAUUCCAGGUGUAGCGGUGAAAUGCGUAGAGAUCUGGAGGAAUACCGGUGGCGAAGGCGGCCCCCUGGACGAAGACUGACGCUCAGGUGCGAAAGCGUGGGGAGCAAACAGGAUUAGAUACCCUCGUAGUC